This 309-nucleotide long non-coding RNA is filed under the name Nicotiana benthamiana. RNAcentral's name for it is "long non-coding RNA (NBEN_LNC035663)". Lineage: Eukaryota; Viridiplantae; Streptophyta; Magnoliopsida; Solanales; Solanaceae. The record is from RNAcentral.
UACAUUAUAAAAACUCACUGGAAACACUGCAUAUAACCUUAACUACAUUUACCUAGAUUUGACUACAUUUUAAAAAUUCACUGGAAACACUUCAUAUAACCUUAAUUACAUUUAACUACAAUUGACUACAUUUGAAAAACUUACUGGAAACAAGUUCAACAGCUACUACUUUUACAUCUUGGAGGGUAAGGAACUUGAGUUUUACAAGAAGAAACUCCAGAGAAAGAAGGAAAGGGUGCCAGUGGUGCUGCUUAGAGUUGCACCUCCAUUUACUAGUUAAAGAUGGCUCGUACUAAGCACGGCCCAAGC